AUUAUUUUUCGUUUUUGAGUUUAUUGAGUCAUUUUCUUAUCUUGA
RNAcentral lists this small RNA (45 nucleotides) under Arabidopsis thaliana (thale cress). RNAcentral describes it as "ATSL208240". Lineage: Eukaryota; Viridiplantae; Streptophyta; Magnoliopsida; Brassicales; Brassicaceae. The record is from RNAcentral.